This 449-nucleotide ribosomal RNA is filed under the name uncultured bacterium. RNAcentral's name for it is "bacterial SSU rRNA". It matches the Rfam family "Bacterial small subunit ribosomal RNA", at positions 355 to 796 of the family's 1533-position model. The record is from RNAcentral.
UCGAGAAUAUUUCGCAAUGGGCGAAAGCCUGACGAAGCGACGCCGCGUGAAUGAUGAAGGCCUUCGGGUUGUAAAGUUCUGUCGCCCCAGAACAAGAAGCGUUGGAGAAUAUCCAAUGAAGAUGAGUGUAUGGGGAAAGGAAGCACCGGCUAAUUCCGUGCCAGCAGCUGCGGUAAUACGGAAGGUGCAAGCGUUAGUCGGAAUUAUUGGGCGUAAAGGGUGCGUAGGCUGAAAUGUAAGUCGGACGUGAAAUUCUGAGGCUUAACCUCAGAGCUGCAUCCGAAACUGCAAUUCUAGAGGAAUGGCGGAGAAGACGGAAUUCCAUGUGUAGCGGUGAAAUGCGUAGAUAUAUGGAAGAACACCUGUGGCGAAAGCGGUCUUCUAGCCUAAUCCUGACGCUGAGGCACGAAAGCAAGGGGAGCAAACAGGAUUAGAUACCCGCGUAGUCC